UGUCAUCAUUCGUGGGAAGAACAUUAUCGCCUGUUCCUAUAGUCAUGGUGGAACCAUGUGGAUUCUGUUACAGGAGUUACAAAGAAGCCAGCCGCAGUCCAAGUGAAAUGAAAUGUGGGCAGCCAUCCCAGAUGAUAUAGAUCGGCGAACAUUUGUCACUCAGUCAUUCCGCGCUGUCAGCAGAAGCUAACGGCGUUCAUUUUGAACAUCUGUGACAUUUCAUCAACUGCCACGAACUAUGGCUGCUGCACAAACAGAAACGUUUUUGAAGCCAACAGAUCAGCAGCUUGUCUCACACUCCUGGUAUUGACCAGCAUCACCAGAUUGCCACUUCAGCUCUCUCAUUAAAAGAGAAGCAACUGUACUGCAAAGCAGAUUGCCUCGACAAUGUGAAAAGCUCUGGAGUUACAGUACAAGCAUGGAGGAGUGUUUCUAUUUAACUCUCAUUAAUACUUGUCACCAAAUAUUGAAUGAGUAAAACUGGGGGAGUUUGAGCAAAGGUUCUAGAAUGCCGUCAACAAACGGGAAUCUGAUGUGCCAGUAGGGCUAAGAGAGUACGACUUAGCUUAGAUCUCCAGGCAUCUUGUUCGACGAUGUGUUGAUGUUCAAGAAGAUUUGGAUGCAACAGGAAAAAUAUUAGAAGAAGCUGGCCAUUAUGGAAACUCUGAACUGGGAGUGACAAGCAACAUCUAAGUCAAAAUACAAAAUAAGAAUCCUAACAUUAAAAUAUUCUUGGAAGAGUCUUAGUCUUCUUCUAACACUAAAAGCAGCAAAAAAGAGUAACAGAGACUUUGUUUUUUAUUUCAAAUUAGCCAAAGAAUUCUUGAAUAUUCAAUCCACUAUAUUAAUCAGGGGCCAUAUGCUGAUAUCACCUGACCAAGUGACUGGCAAUGGACAUCCCUACGAUACACAAUAUGGCUGCAACCACCACAAAAUAAUGCAAAAUAGCAAUGCCCACGGUAAACAAUAAACCAUAAUGUUUUGAAAGUGAGUCAUCAAAAGAACGAUGAGAAAUAUAAAGCACCAGAAACUACAGUCUCUCAAGGAGUUCAAACCUUACUGGUGUGCUUUCACAUUUCACAGUGUGAGUGCUGGACAUUUACCUACCCACAAAUCUGCCAGUUAAUAUGAGCAAUGCCCCUUCAGUCUCAGCUUUUAAAUCAGGUUGAAGACUUGCUACUUCAGACCAGCAUACCCCGACUAGAGCUGCUGAUUAGCUGUGCAUAGUGCAUCUCUGUUUGUCAGCCAUUUGUAAAGAAAUAUAAGUAAUGCAAUAUUUGUAACUGUGAAUAACGAUUCUCUAUUCUAUUUCACUUCAAGUGCCACAUCUCUAUUACCAGGUUGAUCGCUUGCAUAUGGAAAAAGUCAUCUCAGUUAAAGAACACAGAAUGACCAGGAGGAGGUAGGCGGCUAGUUGGCCGAGGUCUCCAGGCCUGUCACUGUGUCUGACUUUGUUUUUGCCUCUCUUACAAUUUCAUCUCCUGGCCAUAGUUCAUCAGUUAAUUAAUGUGGCAGAUAUUGUUGGAUUUCAUUUAUGUUAAUCAGUAUCAACCUUCUUCUCAGUGUGUUUGCUAUAUAUGUGAACCACUUCUGUAUUUAGUAAUUAGUGUAAUCUAUACUUGUGUUUUACCUUAGAAUUGUUCACAGCGCUCUGUGCCAGCAAUCAGUGAAGAGUGUUAUAAAAAAAAUAAGUUGUAAUUGUAAUAUGAGGGCAGAGUAACAGUGGAAGAUGGCACUGGACGCACUCCAGUACAGAGAGCUGACUUCAAUGAAAGAUACCAUCAUGAUUGGGGACACAUUUCAAAUGAAGAAUGCAAGAUUGACAGCCACUCCAACUCUGACAUCACUUCCAUGUCUGUCUGCCUGCACCCUCCCCUUCCUGCCACUUCAACUUAUAACCUGGAAAUCAGCCAUCUUGUUUCAAUUCCUAUACAGAAGCCCCAGUCUGAAACGCCUACUCCACAUUUACUGUGUGUUUUCUUAGUUUUUUUCUCAGUGGUCACCAAGGAGGUGCCCCAUCUCUUUACCUUUCUUUGUGUCCAACAUUACAACAUAUGGUGUAUACACAAAUUGUACGGUUUUGUGUUAUGAAGAACUUUAAAGGUGCUGAGCCUGCAAAGUCUCUUUAUAAAACAAGGACUUGUAAUGUUCAU
This is a long non-coding RNA of Polypterus senegalus (gray bichir), 2153 nucleotides long. RefSeq lists it as uncharacterized. The record is from RefSeq and is a predicted model, not a curated record. The transcript is spliced from 3 exons. Lineage: Eukaryota; Metazoa; Chordata; Cladistia; Polypteriformes; Polypteridae.